Long non-coding RNA from Bombina bombina (fire-bellied toad), 2047 nucleotides. RefSeq lists it as uncharacterized. The record is from RefSeq and is a predicted model, not a curated record. The transcript has 3 exons. NCBI's taxonomy places the organism in Eukaryota, Metazoa, Chordata, Amphibia, Anura, Bombinatoridae.
GGGCUGUACCAUGCCAGCAUAGCAGGUGAGUAAGACCAUCCAGGGGAAACCCCCACCUUCUUCAAUAGCCAAUCAAGAUUUCAUGUCCUUUUAAGCACAACUGGAGGUUGCAAUUUCAGGGACAGUCAUACCAUGGUCCCCCAGGAUGCCAUUCUCACUGUCAUUUACAUAUCCAGUGGAAACAUCAAGCUGCCAGGAGGGCAUACUCUCUUUCAAGUGACAUCCCGGGUAGUACAUCAACCCUAUGGGAUCCACAAAUUCCAGUGACAAGUGCAUAUAUUUACUGCGGACAUGGUAAAGAGGUCUCUUCAGGAACAUCUGCCUACAUUGAUCCACAAAGGAAAUUCUAGAUUUGGAUGUGAGAAAAUAUUAUGUUUAGUCAAGAGUGGGACAUACGACUUGCCCAUUCUCCAUGCUGAUUGUUUAUUAACAACUAUGGGCCAGUGGAGCGUUAUGUAACGUUCCCGCUCAAUUGUUAACUGCGCUAGAAACAAUCUUUUUGCGAGCAUCGGAUUGUGCUCGUAUUACAAGUUGUAAGUAAAUUGUUUUUGAUUGCAUGUUAACCCGAUUAGUGUAAAAAGCCGAACUUACAAUAUUGUGUGCACAAUAACGUAUUCUCCCAUAGAAGUCAAUGGAGCAAAAAAAGUGGAACAAAUACCCAACACCCUACUCGCGUGCAAACCUGAUAACAUAUUCUCAAAUGCGCUAAUAUUUCACAUUCCAAUGUUCUUCAUAUAACAGAAUAUGUUUAUUUAUUCAUAAAUACCUAUUUCUACAUAUAUCUAUGGUAUUUUGCUAAAAUAUAUAUCUAUACCUAUAUAAAUAAAUAGAAUAAUUACCGUAUGUGCAAAACAUUGGAAUAUGAAAUAUUUACAGUAAAUAAACAGUAUACUACUUUAUUAAAUAUGAAUAUUGCAUAAAUAUGUUUUUUUUUCAUGUUUUCAUCUACUUGACUGCAAAGGGCUCCAAAGCACGUAUAUAUGUAUGUGUUCAUAUACUGUAUAUAUACAUAUCCAUAUAUUGACAUGUAUAUGUAUGUAUCCCUAUUUUAAAGCCUUUAGCCUGCCUUUUUUUUAUCUGAGACCUGAUAUCUUUGAGCCCUUCUAACUUUUUUGUGCAAUUUUUCUUAAAAUAAUCCUUAUUAGACAGUGUUAUUAUGAGUGUAACUGUACUUUGUAAUGUAUUUUUGGUGUGUUUUGUGAUACUUUUUUGUUUUGCGAAACAGUUAACCAGAGCUCUAAGGUCGCGCUUAACUAAAAUUGCGCUCAAGCGAUCGUGUUUACUUUCAACUUGUAAUACAAGUGGGGAAAAAAACUUUUUUGCUUGCACGUAACUGUUAGCGCUCCACUUGUAAUCUAGCCCUAUGUUGGUACACAUUGAUCAUGGUGUAUGAUGCAUAUAAUUCAUAACAUAUCUUAACAAGUACCCUGAUUUACCUAUUCCAAUAUCCAAAGAAAAUAGCAGCAGUGUUCUCCGCAGUACCUUUUCAAUGGAUGCACCACCCGCAUUUAAUUUUUAAAGGAAAUAAUAUUAUUAUUCAGACACCUUUUUUGUUACAGUGUUUGUUAUAAGCAACAAAAACUUUACUCUUAAAGUGAAUGUCAACUUUCAUGAUAAAGUGCCCGUUUUUAAAAAGAAACGAUUAAAAACGGGCACUUUCAUUCAUGAAAGUUUACAUUGCACCGGAUUUUAUGUAUGUAUGUAUUGGGUACUUGUAAAGUGCGGCUUAUCACCCGUAAGGGUCUCAAUUUUAUCAACCUCGGAAGGAUGAAAGGCUGAGUGGACCUCACCAGGGAUCGAACCUGCAACCCUUGGGUUGCUACAGAGCUCAGCCACAGUGCCUUAGCAUGCUGAGCUGUUACGAAUACUUACCUUCUCCUGAAACGCAGGAUCGCCGAUCUCCCGCUUGCUUCUUUCUGCUGUACUUACACAGCAAUGACGAAAACGGCUUCCUCCAAUCACAGCGUAGCCUCACCAGAUGAACGCUCCAGGGGGGAAGUCGUGAUUGGAGAGAGCCGGUGUUCUGGUAAGAGGGCGAACUUUGGAA